This 497-nucleotide ribosomal RNA is filed under the name uncultured bacterium. RNAcentral's name for it is "partial 16S ribosomal RNA". It matches the Rfam family "Bacterial small subunit ribosomal RNA", at positions 28 to 507 of the family's 1533-position model. The record is from RNAcentral.
GAUGAACGCUGGCGGCGUGCCCAAUACAUGCAAGUCGAGCGAACGGACGAGAAGCUUGCUUCUCUGAUGUUAGCGGCGGACGGGUGAGUAACACGUGGAUAACCUACCUAUAAGACUGGGAUAACUUCGGGAAACCGGAGCUAAUACCGGAUAAUAUUUUGAACCGCAUGGUUCAAAAGUGAAAGACGGUCCUGCUGUCACUUAUAGAUGGAUCCGCGCUGCAUUAGCUAGUUGGUAAGGUAACGGCUUACCAAGGCAACGAUGCAUAGCCGACCUGAGAGGGUGAUCGGCCACACUGGAACUGAGACACGGUCCAGACUCCUACGGGAGGCAGCAGUAGGGAAUCUUCCGCAAUGGGCGAAAGCCUGACGGAGCAACGCCGCGUGAGUGAUGAAGGUCUUCGGAUCGUAAAACUCUGUUAUUAGGGAAGAACAUAUGUGUAAGUAACUGUGCACAUCUUGACGGUACCUAAUCAGAAAGCCACGGCUAACUACGUG